UAAAGCUUCUUUUGGAAACUUUAUAUUUCUAGAAGAGAGAGACAUGAGAGAUAGAGAUGCAGAUUCUUCGUUUGAGAGAGAAGGAUUUCAUCGGAUCCGUUCGUCGAUCUCUAGCGUUCAAACCCUUAGCCGCCGGCGCCGGAAAUGGCGACCGUGCAGGUGGUUCGUUCGGUGGAUUUGUAGAAAAGAUUGGUUCGAGCAUUCGCAAAUUGAAAAUUUUCUCGAACGCGGGUGCGAUGGGGGUGUUAAUAUACUUCGAUCAGUACGGUGGGGUCGGGGGCGGUACGAAGUGGUUUCCGGAUGACACGUGGUUGCCGCCGAGUGGUGUUCAUGUCGGGUCGGUGUUUAAUGGGGCAGGUGACCCGACAACACCGGGCUGGCCGAGUAGUUUGGAAGGGUGUGAGAGGUUGUCUGAGGAUGAGGUGGAACGGGCCGGUGACGUCCCGUUGAUUCCGUCGUUGCCGAUCUCCGAUGCCGACGGUGAGGAGAUUCUGAGGUGGAUUGGUGGGGUGGUGGCGUUUCCGAUUACUUUUUGGGCCACCUUCUUUCAUGAAGAUCGGUGACCUAGGGUUCCGUCGGGUGCCCCUGAUAGCCAUACGAUCUUGCAUAUACCAAAAUCAAGUUGAGGGGACUAUUAAGGUGAUAAUUACUUAUAUUAUAUUUUGUUACAUCAAAGAAAUCAAAAUACUUUUUAAAAAACAUUUGAAUAUUUAUUGGAAGAAAAAGAACAAACGUGUGCUGGAAUUUUAGAUUGUGAAGAUGGCAAGGUUCAUGGCUUGAAAAGAUCGAAUUUAGUGAGGGGAAUCGAAGAUGACCUCAUCGGUUGUUAUUUAUCUCGAGCUAUAGUAGUCUUUUGUGAUGGUGCCAAUGAUGUUGAUCUUGCUUUUGCAGUUGGUUCUUGCUCCGUGUUUUGCCAUGAUUUUGAUUCGUUAUCUUAGGUAAUCACCGGGAUGCUUGGACAUUUGGAGCUGUUGAUCCCAACAGCGGCACUGCUGCCCUGCUUGAGGUUGUGUUCCAGGUCUGUUUUAAUGGCUAUAUGGCUAUACAAUUAUGAAGUCAAAUAACAAAAAGCUAAAAAAACGAACUUACAAACUCGCACAACAGUGGCUGCACAUCUUCUGUUUCUUUUCAACGGUACCGGGUUUCUUGAAUACCCGGUACAGGUUUAUCAAAUACCUGAACCGUACCCGAACCCGCGUACAUAGGGUAUAGAUUUUCUGGCCAAUACUCGGACCCGAACCCAAUCCAGGCUCACAUCCGCGAGUUGGAAGAAGAGGUGAAGAUUUCAAACAUUUUGGACCCAGAUGUGGAAAAAAAACCUUUGGACAAAAGUUGCAAAACUGGCCAAACCUCUCCUCAGGGACGAAACUGUCAUUUUACUCUUUCUUUUAUUUGUAUUUGACAAUGUUUAAAAAUUUGGUAUGUGGUGGUUUUGUGUAUCUAUUCGCUAAUAUAAAUAGUACAAACACAUACAUAUGCUCUUUACACGGGUCUUAUUAUAAGAGCUCUGCUUAACUAAGUUCAAGUCCUUACUAACCUCAUUUUCUUGAAGGUAUCCGAGUCGUUAAAAGCAUCAAUAAAAUCAGCUUCAUUGGAAGAUGCUUGCCACUUGGCACGCAGUUGUGAUAGACUCAUCCAAGAAGUUGAGAGUCAGGUAGUGGAAGUAUUGAGGCGACAAACAAAGGUCUGAGAUCCUACUCCAGAGAGUGCGUUAAAACUUAAAAACAUGGAAGCAUGGUUAAGUGAGCUCCGAUCUUCGAUGAUCACACUUCAGAAAGAAACAAUCUCCGUGAUGUUGUCGGUAGAGAAACAACAACAACAAAUAACCUUGCAAAAGCUUCUUAUGAUAGUAGAUGCCGAAAGGUCUUAUCGCCGCCACGUUUUGUCUAUUCUAGAGGAGCUACAUGCUGAGCUGAUUUUGGCAAAGGUUAUUGUUCCAUCUGGCGACGUCACUCAACGUGUACACAACAAAAAUAAAGAUUAUGAUUAUUUUAUUGGAAAGAUAAAGGUCAUUCAUCCAUUUGAUGUUCAAGCAAACGGUGAGCUCAGCUUAAAUGUUGAUGAGUAUGUUAUAGUUCGCCAGGUGCCACUCUGUUGCUACGUAUGGUAUUAAGUAAUGCAAAAUCAGAAGGCCGGGUGAUGGGUCAAAAGGGGUAAUUAAUAACAUCAGCCAAAAAGGGUCGGUCAAGUUCACCCAUAAAAACUAAUGCGUUAAAUAUGAUCACAAAAACUACAUUGCUACAAUAUAACAGUUAUAAUCUUAUCGAUUAGUGUAUAAAGAACUUGGAAUCACAAAAGAAGUUCAAGAGUAAGUAAAUAUUGAUGUAGUAGCGUUGAUUAAAUGCUCAUAUGUCUAAUUUAGGGCCAUCAUUUUUGUAUAUGUGAUUUGUAGAUAUGACUGUAGGAAAAAAUAACUUAUGUAAAAAAUACUCUGUAACCGGCCGCAACACGGCGGGUACUUUUCUAGUUAUAUAUAAUAAUAAACUUUUUAUUAGUUUA
This is a long non-coding RNA of Helianthus annuus (common sunflower), 2499 nucleotides long. RefSeq lists it as uncharacterized. The record is from RefSeq and is a predicted model, not a curated record. Lineage: Eukaryota; Viridiplantae; Streptophyta; Magnoliopsida; Asterales; Asteraceae. The transcript is spliced from 9 exons.